Molecule: RNA transcript, 2159 nt
Organism: Magnolia sinica
Lineage: Eukaryota; Viridiplantae; Streptophyta; Magnoliopsida; Magnoliales; Magnoliaceae
Gene name: ABC transporter I family member 10
Exons: 6
Source: RefSeq, a predicted model, not a curated record
UCGUGCUACAGGGGAUAUUCGUCGAGGAAUGCGCCUCAGCGAAUCGGCUUUUUGUAAGAGCCAUGAAAGUAUAAUUUGCAAGGGAUUUUGGUUACUUACCCAAGAAAUGAGCUGAGGUGGAUUAGUGUUGAUGAUGCAGGAGAGAAGAAGAGGGUAAGUGGUGGCUGCUGCUUAUGUAUUCGAUGACUCUUCCUCCGCCCUCUCAUCAUCUGGUUGGGCCUCUCUCUUACCAAAUGAGUUUUGGUCGACCACCAUCAGUCUGGAUUUCCAAUAAUUAUUGUAGGGCCGUUUAUUUUCUUCCCCAAAGAAAGAAUUGUCUUUUCCGCUGUUGCAGCAGCAAUAGCAAUGACAAUAAUAUGAGUUUUACCAUUGAAGGACGCAAUUUGAGUUUCUCUGUUACAAUGAGGAAGAGGCAUCUUAGUGGUGGUCAGGUGGAGGAGGUGGUUCCAAUACUCAACCACUGUUCCAUCCGGAUUCCCACUGGACAGUUAUGGAUGCUUCUCGGACCCAAUGGAUGUGGCAAAUCAACCCUUCUCAAGGUCUUGGCAGGGCUCCUAAGUCCAACUGAUGGAUAUGUGUGCAUCAAGAGGCCAAAGAGCUUUGUUUUCCAAAAUCCAGAUCACCAGGUAGUGAUGCCUACCGUAGAAGCAGACGUUGCUUUUGGUCUUGGCAAGUUCGAUUUGACCCCAGAUGAAGUUAGAAGCAGAGUGAAAAAUGCUUUAGAGGCUGUGGGCAUGUCAGAAUACUUGCGAAGGCCUGUUCAAACUCUCAGUGGCGGUCAGAAACAGAGGGUUGCCAUUGCAGGGGCUUUGGCUGAAUCCUGUGAAGUGCUAUUAUUAGAUGAACUUACAACAUUUUUGGAUGAAAACGAUCAGGUAUUCAUAUCUAUGAAAAGCUAGGAUGUGGGUUUUUCCAUUCCAUGAUGAUAUGUUUUGCUAAUGAGGGAUGGCAUUGCUUCAUACAUUUCAUUCUUAGAUGCUUCAGGUGACCGAUAAAGUGCCAUUAUACAUUGAAGUUCUUUAUUCACUCUUCUUGAAUAUCAAUCUUAGCCUGGCAUAAGCAGUCAUCCCUACAAUCUUUCUCCAUUUCUUGGCUGCAACAGUGCGGUGUUUCCAGCUAUGAAAGAUAUGGAAAGAAGCCAAUUCAACUUAUUUUCACAAUGUCCAUUGUACAGAUGCGCAGGGACAUAUGUUCACCUGUAGAUGAGUAUUCAAGUGAACAAGAAAGGAAAAUCAUGUACACUCGCAAACACAUUCAUAUUUUGCUCUAAUGACGAUUUAAACAUAUUCCAAAUGACAUCUCUCAAAAGAAGAAGAAGAAGAAGAAGAAGAAGAAGAAGAAGAAAGAAGAAAGAAAAAAAUAAAAUAAAAAAAUCCAAAUGGCACUUGUCCCAAAAUUUAAUGUUUAAACAAUUCCUCUAAAGCUGAAAGUGAUAGUUCUUUUGUCUAAAUCAUUCCUGCUCAUGCGUGAGGGGUGCAUGUUCAUCAUUGACAGCUUUUCAACAAGGAUUUUCUUUCUCUUUAAGUAGCUCUGAUCACAAUGUUGACCUGCAUGACACCAAGUAUUUCAUCCGAAGAGUGCAAUUCUUUCUGCAAUCUUGAAUGAACUAGCAAGACAGAUAAAUAUUUAUUAGUUCACUAAGGGCUCCUAGUUGAAUUCAUUGGUCUUGAGCCUGCAGUUAAUAAUAUUUGGUACUUAUGUGUGGGGUUAGCUAGGUUACAGGUUUCUCUACUUUUGGUUAAUAUCAUAAUAAGGGAAGGUGAUGCAGGACCGAUGCAUGAACCAAAUAACAUGUGAGAUCAAGUAGCAGAAUUAAGACAAUUAACCAAAAAACACAAGCAUUGACAUAAUCAUCACGAAUCCCACGGAAACCAAAAGAACAUCACGCAUGAUCCUAGCCUAAGUUACCAACAUUGUCAUACAAGUUCAUUAAAUAAAAGGAAAUUAGGAUCUAAUGGAUGUAGGAAAUUAGCAUAGGAUAUAGUCUAUUUCAAAGUAGAAGGCCUAAUACAACCUAGGGUAAAAAAUUAGGGUUUGGUAAUUUAGGAAAGUAGGAAAAUUAGGAAUUUAGGUUUAGGGUUAGGGUUUUGGGAAUGGAAGAAAGGGAUUUUGAUAUAAGGAUGAUAAAAGACCAAAAGGGGCAAGGUGUGACAGUACGA